Molecule: long non-coding RNA, 756 nt
Organism: Ictalurus furcatus (blue catfish)
Lineage: Eukaryota; Metazoa; Chordata; Actinopteri; Siluriformes; Ictaluridae
Exons: 3
Source: RefSeq, a predicted model, not a curated record
AUGGUUUUGCAGCGUUAACGAUCCAGGUAAGUCUAAUUUGUUUUUGCUUGAGCUUUGACCAGUGUAAUUCCAUGUUUGUACAUGCCUAUAAUUUCUAUAAAUGUGCAUGUGAACACUUGGUGAUUUAUUGUGGGAUAGUCCAGAGAUCGUAAAUAACCACCCAAAGGUUAAAGGUCUUGAUCAGCUUAUUUCAUGUGUGUUUACCGAUAGGUUUGCUGUGUGACGUGGAGGAGCCUCCAUAUGACGAGGAAGACCAGUUCAGUUUCGCGGACGUCGAGCUGCUGCCACCUCCUGAACUCUACGCCGACUUUUUCUGAGCUGUCAGACUCCAGGCUCCUGUUGGCACUCAGGAAAUACAGUCCAGUUCUCUGACUGCUGCUGUUACAGCACGUGUUUCAGACUGUUCGACUAAACACUGAACUCUUCUAGCCAGAAGUGUGUGUGUGUGUGUGUGUGUGUGUGUGUGUGUGUGUGAGAUUUAACUUCAGGUGUAAAAGAAGGCAGAGUUAAAUAGCACGUUAAUAAAAGAAUGCGAACGGGCGUAGCACUUUAUGGGUGUGUAUUAUAUUGUGUCUAAAUGUUGCACCUCAUUUGGGCUGUGAAGACUUUGCACCAUCUUGUAUGAGCUUCCUUUGUGUUUUCAUUUGAACACCUUUUUUUUUGUUGUUGUUGUUCAUGAUGCAGUGUUUCGGCAUCAUUUGUGUUCUUGUAUGUUUGUAUUAAAACUCAUUUCUGAAUGAAUGCAAACAAUAAAUG